CCUACGGGAGGCAGCAGUGGGGAAUAUUGGACAAUGGGGGCAACCCUGAUCCAGCCAUGCCGCGUGUGUGAAGAAGGCCCUCGGGUUGUAAAGCACUUUCAGUGAGGAAGAACGCCUGGUGGUUAAUACCCAUCAGGAAAGACAUCACUCACAGAAGAAGCACCGGCUAACUCCGUGCCAGCAGCCGCGGUAAUACGGAGGGUGCGAGCGUUAAUCGGAAUUACUGGGCGUAAAGCGCGCGUAGGUGGCUUGAUAAGCCGGUUGUGAAAGCCCCGGGCUCAACCUGGGAACGGCAUCCGGAACUGUCAAGCUAGAGUGCAGGAGAGGAAGGUAGAAUUCCCGGUGUAGCGGUGAAAUGCGUAGAGAUCGGGAGGAAUAACAGUGGCGAAGGCGGCCUUCUGGACUGACACUGACACUGAGGUGCGAAAGCGUGGGUAGCAAACAGGAUUAGAUACCCUAGUAGUC
This 465-nucleotide ribosomal RNA is filed under the name Vreelandella stevensii. RNAcentral's name for it is "partial 16S ribosomal RNA". It matches the Rfam family "Bacterial small subunit ribosomal RNA", at positions 338 to 795 of the family's 1533-position model. Lineage: Bacteria; Pseudomonadati; Pseudomonadota; Gammaproteobacteria; Oceanospirillales; Halomonadaceae. The record is from RNAcentral.